This is a long non-coding RNA of Onychostoma macrolepis, 1192 nucleotides long. RefSeq lists it as uncharacterized. The transcript is spliced from 6 exons. The record is from RefSeq and is a predicted model, not a curated record. Lineage: Eukaryota; Metazoa; Chordata; Actinopteri; Cypriniformes; Cyprinidae.
UAGAUUAAUAACCCGCACGUGUGAUCUUCCUUCGCGCCCAGAGAAACGGCUCUGUUCGCGCCAAAGGUCGCCCUGACAACGAGUCUCGAGGGCAGCGGAUUAAGUAACAGACAGUAAAUCAGCGUCUUUUCCGUAGUGUCCACUGCAGGAUGGAUAUAAAAGUAUAACACACGUGUUGGUUUGACAACAUCGUUCAUAUGUGAACUAUCACAAUUAAAGCACAAAGACAUAACAUAACACCCCGAGACCUUUCACAAGUGCCACAAAAGGGAAGAAACGCUUUCCGGAAGGAGUUCAUCAGGCGAGUUGGAGCGUUGACUUUGUCCAGUCAUCAAGUUUAGCGGAGAGCAUCAACCCCUAAUUGACACGAGGAAUAAAUCAUUGAAAAGUGUUCAGCUAUGGGUGUACCCUCUUUGCAACAGAGGAAGCAUUAGGAAAGAGAAGAAGAGAGAAAGUGAAAAGGCACUCAACAGAUGUUGGAAAAUGCACUGGUAACAACUAAAAAAAGACGACCAAAAAUUUUAUUCAACAGAAGAUGAUGGCUGUGGUGAAACAAGCACUCAAAUAAUGAAACUAAGACCUGUGGGAGUGCUGGAGAAAUCAAGUGUAUAAGUCCCCUGUCGUCUCAGCCAUGGAAGAGAUCUUCAGACAUGAAGAGAUCGAGGAGUUAAAUGAAGUCAAAGAGCUAAAAGAAGAUUUACAAUACUAGUGCCAUUUCAGUAUGAAAACAGAGAGAGAGCCGAGGCAGUGGAAAGAAAUGCAUGUUAUUGUGCAAGGGGUAGUUGCAUGGACUAUCAGUGGAGGAACAGAAAGCUCUGAGAUUUCAUUAUAAAGAUCUUCAUUUGUGUUCUGAAGAUGAACAAAGGUUUUGAACGUCAUGAGGACUACGUCAAAAAUAGUGUUUCCACAUCUGAGAUGAAGGCAGUCAUAAGAACCAAACAGAACGAUGAGGAUAAGCUCUUCAGAAAAUGAAACCUGUCUGAAUAAUGAGGGAAGAAAUGUGCAUGAUUGUGUGAUUUGUAAAUAAACACUAAAUACAUUUAGUGUAACUCUCAGCCUGUUAUUUUAAGUUUAAAGAAAAGUAAAAUCAUUUAUUGUUGCAUUGCUGUUUGAGACAUUCACUGUUGUUUUGUACCUUAAUUUAUUAUAUUGAAAUUGUGUAAAAUAAAACUUGUUAUUCUGAAUAUUCUGG